GAGCUGCCAUCAGCAGGUACACGACCGAAGCUCCAAAGAGGGUUACAAUGAUCGCCAUGGACACGACCACGCUGAAAUUUAUUUGGGGCAUUUGUACUGAAUAAAAGUGAUGGUGGUGAAGACGGUGUAGCAUUGGUUUUUUUUCCUACGUAUUCGAUGGUAGCCUAAGAGGCUAUUCUGGCUACGUGCGGACGGCAAGGUGAGCUCACGAGCUCAACCGGAGAGAAUUUGCCAACACAAGCCCUAGCAAGAGCAGUGCUUCGUUGAAUGCUAAUCGGAAUCGCAACAUACUGAGAAAGUUCGUUGAGUUACUCAGUGGGCUGUGUCUGUGGGUUAAAGUAUUAUUCGAAUUCUGGUGGAACAUGCAGUGUGCCUUUAAAUUUAUACCCAUCUCUUUCACGUACGUACUUAUGUAACACACAGCAUGCUUGUACAAUAUCUUCUAGUUAAAAAACUGGUUUGGGUAUGUACAAACAUCUUUAAAAUAGAUAUAGAAUAAUAUCGCUUGACAAAAGGAUCACAAAUGGCCGUCGAUUGGCUGCUAUAACUGGCCGCUCAAAUAUUUCGUUUGCCGCUUAUGGAGGAAAUCAAAUUUAGUGCAUCUGAAUGUACAUAUUAUGUACAUAUAUACCGUCCCGGAAGAAGAUAAAUUCAUAGAAUUUUAAUUAUUUUAUUCAUUAAUUAUAAUUUGUAUCAAAAUAAAAUAAUAUUUAGCAGCA
Long non-coding RNA from Bombyx mori (domestic silkworm), 719 nucleotides. RefSeq lists it as uncharacterized. The transcript has 2 exons. The record is from RefSeq and is a predicted model, not a curated record. NCBI's taxonomy places the organism in Eukaryota, Metazoa, Arthropoda, Insecta, Lepidoptera, Bombycidae.